GCAGUCGUGGCCGAGUGGUUAAGGCGAUGGACUCGAAAUCCAUUGGGGUCUCCUCGCAUAGGUUCUAAUCCUGUCGGCUGCG
This 82-nucleotide transfer RNA is filed under the name Dermacentor silvarum. RNAcentral's name for it is "transfer RNA serine (anticodon CGA)". It matches the Rfam family "tRNA". From Rfam's summary of the family: Transfer RNA (tRNA) molecules are approximately 80 nucleotides in length. Their secondary structure includes four short double-helical elements and three loops (D, anti-codon, and T loops). The record is from RNAcentral. Lineage: Eukaryota; Metazoa; Arthropoda; Arachnida; Ixodida; Ixodidae.